CCCAAUCCCAGGAAUCCCGGCCAGAUCCCUCUGCACAGGACAGAAAUAGAUUGUAAUUGACAGAUGACAGGCUCUGGCCAAGUCCUGGUGCUUCAGAAGGGGGGAUGCAGGGAUAAGGGCUAUUAUUAUCCCUGUUAUUUUUUAUUUGGGAAGUGCUCCUACCGCCUCAAGCGCUCCCGGGAUUGCCGGCAAGAGCCUUCCUGUCCUUGGAACACGGGAUUUCUGGGAUCCAAGGGUGUGACUGGAGAUGAGCUAUGAGCUGUGGGAUGGAUGUGCUAACAACCUUUGGCAGAAAGGAGAGGACUGGACCAGCACUUCAUCCCGGCUGGAGACAUUCCAGGGCCAAGGAAUUGCCACACCAAGGAGCGGCUGGGAAGUGAGAGUCGGACAAAGCGGCGGAAGCCAGGGUGAAACAUCUCACAAAGGCCAACUAUCGCCCGGCUUUCCCAAGCAGACAUUAUUCCAUGCCACAGCAUUGGAUACAACUGGAGCCCAACUUGGCUUUGAAGCUCCUGGAACUGCCAGGUGUCUGUCCUUCCUUCCUUCCUUCCUUCCUGGAGUCCUUCCUUCCUGGGGUCCUUCCUUCCUUCCUGGUGCCCUGGAGUCCUUCCUGGAGUCCUGGAGUGUUGCAGUGUGUUUUAAACUUCUGGGUCCCUUACCCAGGCGUGCCAAAACCCUCCCUUUCCCCCUCACCCCCUUGCUGAGUGAGUCCUGUU
RNAcentral lists this long non-coding RNA (716 nucleotides) under Zonotrichia albicollis (white-throated sparrow). Its description in RNAcentral is "lncRNA (ENSZALG00000013838.1)". Lineage: Eukaryota; Metazoa; Chordata; Aves; Passeriformes; Passerellidae. The record is from RNAcentral.